RNAcentral lists this ribosomal RNA (119 nucleotides) under Pteropus alecto (black flying fox). The record is from RNAcentral. Lineage: Eukaryota; Metazoa; Chordata; Mammalia; Chiroptera; Pteropodidae.
GUCUACAGCCAGGCUACCCUGAAAAAGCCUGAUGCAGUCUGAUCUCAGAAGCUAAGCAGUGUCGGGCUUGGUUAGUACUUGGAUGGGAGACCACCAAGGAAGACCAGGUGCUGUAGGCA